This is a small nuclear RNA of Delphinapterus leucas (beluga whale), 107 nucleotides long. NCBI's taxonomy places the organism in Eukaryota, Metazoa, Chordata, Mammalia, Artiodactyla, Monodontidae. The record is from Ensembl.
GUGCUCGCUUUGGCAGCACAUAUACUAAAGUUGGAACGGUACAGAGAAGAUUAGCAUGGCCCCUGCACAAGGAUGACACGUAAAUUCGUGAAGUGUUCCAAAUUUUU